UACGUAGGGUGCAAGCGUUGUCCGGAAUUACUGGGCGUAAAGCGUGCGUAGGUGGUCGUUUAAGUCCGUUGUGAAAGCCCUGGGCUCAACCUGGGAACUGCAGUGGAUACUGGGCGACUAGAGUGUGGUAGAGGGUAGCGGAAUUCCUGGUGUAGCAGUGAAAUGCGUAGAGAUCAGGAGGAACAUCCAUGGCGAAGGCAGCUACCUGGACCAACACUGACACUGAGGCACGAAAGCGUGGGGAGCAAACAGG
This 253-nucleotide ribosomal RNA is filed under the name uncultured bacterium. Its description in RNAcentral is "partial 16S ribosomal RNA". It matches the Rfam family "Bacterial small subunit ribosomal RNA", at positions 524 to 776 of the family's 1533-position model. The record is from RNAcentral.